CUUAGUAGCGGCGAGUGAAGCGGCAAAAGCUCAAAUUUGAAAUCUGGCUCUUUCAGAGUCCGAGUUGUAAUUUGAAGAAGGUAUCUUUGGGUCUGGCUCUUGUCUAUGUUUCUUGGAACAGAACGUCACAGAGGGUGAGAAUCCCGUGCGAUGAGAUGAUCCAGGCCUAUGUAAAGUUCCUUCGAAGAGUCGAGUUGUUUGGGAAUGCAGCUCUAAGUGGGUGGUAAAUUCCAUCUAAAGCUAAAUAUUGGCGAGAGACCGAUAGCGAACAAGUACAGUGAUGGAAAGAUGAAAAGAACUUUGAAAAGAGAGUGAAAAAGUACGUGAAAUUGUUGAAAGGGAAGGGCUUGAGAUCAGACUUGGUAUUUUGUAUGUUACUUCUUCGGGGGUGGCCUCUACAGUUUAUCGGGCCAGCAUCAGUUUGGGCGGUAGGAGAAUUGCGUUGGAAUGUGGCACGGCCUCGGUUGUGUGUUAUAGCCUUCGUCGAUACUGCCAGCCUAGACUGAGGACUGCGGUUUAUACCUAGGAUGUUGGCAUAAUGAUCUUAAGUCGCCCGUCUGAAA
RNAcentral lists this ribosomal RNA (563 nucleotides) under Candida tropicalis. Its description in RNAcentral is "partial large subunit ribosomal RNA". It matches the Rfam family "Eukaryotic large subunit ribosomal RNA", at positions 79 to 658 of the family's 3401-position model. Lineage: Eukaryota; Fungi; Ascomycota; Pichiomycetes; Serinales; Debaryomycetaceae. The record is from RNAcentral.